CGGUGGGGACGACCCCACCCUUCGCAAAGUUUCGCGGGGACGACCCCG
Regulatory RNA element from Gloeobacter violaceus PCC 7421, 48 nucleotides. It matches the Rfam family "Guanidine-II riboswitch aptamer (mini-ykkC)". Rfam says of the family: Simpler in structure and has fewer highly conserved nucleotide positions than the ykkC-yxkD leader. Despite this each of its two stem-loop structures directly bind free guanidine. The record is from Rfam. Lineage: Bacteria; Bacillati; Cyanobacteriota; Cyanophyceae; Gloeobacterales; Gloeobacteraceae.